GACGAACGCUGGCGGCGUGCUUAACACAUGCAAGUCGAACGGUAAGGCCCUUUCGGGGGUACACGAGUGGCGCACGGGUGAGUAACACGUGGGUGAUCAGCCCUGCACUUUGGGAUAAGCCUGGGAAACUGGGUCUAAUACCGGAUAGGACUACGCGAUGCAUGUCGUGUGGUGGAAAGCUUUUGCGGUGUGGGAUGGGCCCGCGGCCUAUCAGCUUGUUGGUGGGGUGAUGGCCUACCAAGGCGACGACGGGUAGCCGGCCUGAGAGGGUGUCCGGCCACACUGGGACUGAGAUACGGCCCAGACUCCUACGGGAGGCAGCAGUGGGGAAUAUUGCACAAUGGGCGCAAGCCUGAUGCAGCGACGCCGCGUGGGGGAUGACGGCCUUCGGGUUGUAAACCCCUUUCAGCACAGACGAAGCGUAAGUGACGGUAUGUGCAGAAGAAGCACCGGCCAACUACGUG
Molecule: ribosomal RNA, 464 nt
Filed under: uncultured bacterium
Lineage: Bacteria
Description: partial 16S ribosomal RNA
Rfam family: Bacterial small subunit ribosomal RNA
Source: RNAcentral